AUUGAACGCUGGCGGCAUGCUUUACACAUGCAAGUCGGACGGCAGCACAGAGAAGCUUGCUUCUUGGGUGGCGAGUGGCGAACGGGUGAGUAACGCAUCGGAACGUACCGAGUAGUGGGGGAUAACUGUCCGAAAGGAUGGCUAAUACCGCAUACGCUUUGAGAAGGAAAGCGGGGGAUCUUCGGRCCUCGCGCUAUUCGAGCGGCCGAUGUCUGAUUAGCUAGUUGGUGGGGUAAAGGCCUACCAAGGCGACGAUCAGUAGCGGGUCUGAGAGGAUGAUCCGCCACACUGGGACUGAGACACGGCCCAGACUCCUACGGGAGGCAGCAGUGGGGAAUUUUGGACAAUGGGCGCAAGCCUGAUCCAGCCAUGCCGCGUGUCUGAAGAAGGCCUUCGGGUUGUAAAGGACUUUUGUCAGGGAAGAAAAGCUUUGGGUUAAUACCCUGGAGUGAUGACGGUACCUGAAGAAUAAGCACCGGCUAACUAC
RNAcentral lists this ribosomal RNA (487 nucleotides) under Neisseria sp. 'ARUP UnID 430'. RNAcentral's name for it is "bacterial SSU rRNA". It matches the Rfam family "Bacterial small subunit ribosomal RNA", at positions 30 to 504 of the family's 1533-position model. The record is from RNAcentral. Lineage: Bacteria; Pseudomonadati; Pseudomonadota; Betaproteobacteria; Neisseriales; Neisseriaceae.